RNAcentral lists this ribosomal RNA (464 nucleotides) under Vreelandella stevensii. Its description in RNAcentral is "partial 16S ribosomal RNA". It matches the Rfam family "Bacterial small subunit ribosomal RNA", at positions 338 to 795 of the family's 1533-position model. Lineage: Bacteria; Pseudomonadati; Pseudomonadota; Gammaproteobacteria; Oceanospirillales; Halomonadaceae. The record is from RNAcentral.
CCUACGGGAGGCUGCAGUGGGGAAUAUUGGACAAUGGGGGCAACCCUGAUCCAGCCAUGCCGCGUGUGUGAAGAAGGCCCUCGGGUUGUAAAGCACUUUCAGUGAGGAAGAACGCCUGGUGGUUAAUACCCAUCAGGAAAGACAUCACUCACAGAAGAAGCACCGGCUAACUCCGUGCCAGCAGCCGCGGUAAUACGGAGGGUGCGAGCGUUAAUCGGAAUUACUGGGCGUAAGCGCGCGUAGGUGGCUUGAUAAGCCGGUUGGGAAAGCCCCGGGCUCAACCUGGGAACGGCAUCCGGAACUGUCAAGCUAGAGUGCAGGAGAGGAAGGUAGAAUUCCCGGUGUAGCGGUGAAAUGCGUAGAGAUCGGGAGGAAUACCAGUGGCGAAGGCGGCCUUCUGGACUGACACUGACACUGAGGUGCGAAAGCGUGGGUAGCAAACAGGAUUAGAUACCCGGGUAGUC